ACCCUGGUGGCGAGUGGCGAACGGGUGAGUAAUAUAUCGGAACGUGCCCAGUCGUGGGGGAUAACGUAGCGAAAGUUACGCUAAUACCGCAUACGAUCUACGGAUGAAAGCGGGGGAUCGCAAGACCUCGCGCGAUUGGAGCGGCCGAUAUCAGAUUAGGUAGUUGGUGGGGUAAAGGCUCACCAAGCCAACGAUCUGUAGCUGGUCUGAGAGGACGACCAGCCACACUGGGACUGAGACACGGCCCAGACUCCUACGGGAGGCAGCAGUGGGGAAUUUUGGACAAUGGACGCAAGUCUGAUCCAGCCAUUCCGCGUGCAGGACGAAGGCCUUCGGGUUGUAAACUGCUUUUGUACGGAACGAAAAAGCUCUUACUAAUACUAGGAGUCCAUGACGGUACCGUAAGAAUAAGCACCGGCUAACUACGUGCCAGCAGCCGCGGUAAUACGUAGGGUGCGAGCGUUAAUCGGAAUUACUGGGCGUAAAGCGUGCGCAGGCGGUUAUAUAAGACAG
This 513-nucleotide ribosomal RNA is filed under the name uncultured Burkholderiales bacterium. RNAcentral's name for it is "bacterial SSU rRNA". It matches the Rfam family "Bacterial small subunit ribosomal RNA", at positions 82 to 591 of the family's 1533-position model. The record is from RNAcentral. Lineage: Bacteria; Pseudomonadati; Pseudomonadota; Betaproteobacteria; Burkholderiales.